This is a long non-coding RNA of Bufo bufo (common toad), 3613 nucleotides long. RefSeq lists it as uncharacterized. NCBI's taxonomy places the organism in Eukaryota, Metazoa, Chordata, Amphibia, Anura, Bufonidae. The record is from RefSeq and is a predicted model, not a curated record. The transcript is spliced from 2 exons.
AUUACUUCCAGGAAAUGAUUUUAUUUCACAUACACAUAAUAAUAGCCAUCCAAUGGGGAAGCACAGGGGUAGGGUUGGAUACUGGGCAGGGCUGACGCGAUUUGGGUACGAGGGGAUUAAAAAAAGUAUAAAAAAAAUAAAACUGAUAAUAUUUCAAGCAGGGAUAAAAUACACAUUAAGUAGAGAGACAAGAGAUUUGGUGAAUAAAAAGCCGGUAAAAGGGGGAACAAGGGUAGCUGAAAUGAGAGAGUGGAUAGUAAAGGAAGGGAGAGGGAAUAAGAUACUCAGGGGUGGGGUUUGGAGAGUAAGUGCUGGGUAAAGAUAAAGGUAAGGUCAUAGAAAAUUCAGAGGGAUGAGAGUGGAGAGAACAUAUAGUUUACAUAGUAUUAGAAAAGACAUUAUAGGAAACUUUAAACGGGCUACCAGAUGAGUCCAUCUGUAGAGCACUGGAUGAAAAGUAGAUGAGAGUGAGGAAAAAGGUAUUGUAGUAGGGAAAAUUUUACAGAAGGGGCGCUAUACUGACAAGAAGCAUUCCAUUUACACAUUUUUUAGAGAGCAGUGGAGCAUACACAGUGGUAAUAUGUUUAGAAUAAAGGGAAAUAUAAGAGAAAGGGAGAACGAUUAAAAGUGGGUCAAAUACCAAAUGAGAAAGAGAGGAGGAAUGUUCCUUCUAGAUAUGUAAUGUAAUGUUAUAUCUAUAUAUAUAUACAUAUAUAUAUACAUAUAUAUAGAUAUGCUGCCUUUCUCAAGAGCUACAAGAACCUUAUACCUUCUGACAAUAGCAGAGAGCUAUUAAUGGCCCUUUUGCAGGAAAUGUACAAUUUUCCCCCAAAGAGGUCAAUUCUUGUAUGAAAUCAACAAAAAUACCUCUGCCUCUGUGCGUUUUUAAAUCUGUACCUUUCACCUCUACAUAUAUUCUAUCCCCGGUUUUUAAACCCCAAUAAAUGUUUACUGAAUUUGAUGUUAAACUUAAUGUGCACUUGUCCAACACUAAUACGUGGAUGAUUCAGUGCUGCACGCUGCGAGCAUCUGUAACCUGGUGCAGGCAUACUGAUCAUAUCCUGUGUCAAAAUGCACACAAUCUGCUCCGGAUCUGCCCCUGGAUCCUCCACAAUUCUGCUGUACCAAAUCUAGAUUUAUACAGGCUUCUAACAUGAUGUAAGUUUAGUUCAGUAGAACAAAGAUGGGUUCACAUUUUGUGACCAUAUUUUGGACUAAUAAGCAGUAAAAUUGCAGCCAUGUGAAACUGGCCUUAAAGUGAAUAUUUAGUCUUGAAUAACAUUUGUUUGUGGAAUAGUUUGGAAAUACAUUGCUGAUUAAUUUCUUAAUCACUAUAGAAGUCGGAGUUCCAUUUUUUUUUUAUACAGAUCCCACAGAUUCAUAAGAUAAAAUUUGCCUUGUAGCAACCACUAAGAUGAGCUUAGCCCCUUACUAGGUUGCACUAGAUAGUAUAAUAGUGUUCAGUAGGCUCUUAAGCUCCCUCUAGUGGCAGCUGCUGGUAGCCAGAAUUUCAUAUUUUAAACUUAUGACUGUGCAGGGGAUUCUUAGCUCUGAAUCGGAAUAACCGAGCUCCAGCCUCUAUAAUAUUAGGAAAUUUAUCAGCUCUGAAUGUUACAUCUUAUGACAUGGUAAUAAAAGGUGGACCUUCGCUUUAAACUGAUGCUGGAGGAAUACCAGCUUCCAGGACCACUGAUAUCAAUACGGGAACCACAGAGUGAGCUCUCGUAGGCUUUGUUUUUGGGGAAAAUUUAAGAAUGGGCUAACAUGGUAUUAUCAAAAAAGGAAGCAGCAGCACCUUUUUCAGGGUUAAUUGAAGGUUUGGAGCCCAACCUUCUGAGGCUUGCACUCUUUCAUUUUCUGCUUUAGAGUACGACCACAUGGUUAGGUUUCUGCAUGCAUUUUUGGAAGCCAAAAUCAGGAGUGGAUCAUAAAAGAAUAGAAAGUAUAAAGGACAGAUAUGAUCUCUCCUCUUUUUUUAAAUUCACUCCUGAUUUUGCCUUCCAAAACUGCAUUCAGAAACCUGACCGUGUGGCCCUACCCUUAGCUGUGCUGCGCCACUUUGUUGAUUUUUGCUAUUAUCAAACCAUUUGAUAAUGGGGCUGUCUAUAACAAAUUGGAGUUAGUUGUGUCUACACGCAAUAAAAAUGUUUACUUGCAUAUUUUUUUCUUGUCUUAUGUAGGACAAGUGCAUCUUAAGUCAUCAGUAUUGCCUUAUUGGGUCAUGAAGGGAUUUAAUGGCUUAAAGUUUUCGAGUUAUAAUGAUUUUUAAGCAAGUGAUCACCGGCUCUCUGAUGUCUCCAUCAUCCGGUCCCCGCACUGUUUUCUUCCUGUGGUGCAUGGUCACAAGACCCGCUCCAGUCACUCACUGGAUUUAAAGGUGAUCUGGCCGCAAGCAGCACGUCAUCGCUGAAGCCAGUCAUUGGCUAAAGCGGGGCAUGUGACCAUUCACCACUGGAUGUGAACCGUGCAGGGAUUGGAAGAUGGAGGCAGUGAGGAGAACUGCAGCGGCAUGGAGCAGGUAAGUAGGAAUCUUAGGUUUCAGCAGGCAGGCUGCGGGCACUUGCUUAAAAAUCACUAUAACUGGAAAACCCCUUUAAUUCCUGUAAUACUGAGAAAAUGAAAUUCAUUCCUGAAAUACUGAAUGGAGUGUUGUAAUCCAUAGUCAUAUAAGCAUGUAUUAUAAAUUGGUUUACUCAAAGAAAAACUACUUUUUUUUUUUUCGUGGACAACACCCACAUGUGAAUCCCAUUUUCAAAAUCCCAGCUCCUCUCACUUCACCACUACAGAAUUAUAGAAAGGCACUAUGCAGGCUGGUAUUAGUCAGUCAUGAAACCCUCUUGCUGGGAUGUUUCAGGGAUGAUUUCCAGUUAGGAUGAAUCCCUUUUAUUGUGUUCAGUUUGAAGCAAAUUUAACGUUUAAGACACUCCCUACUGUACACUAAAUCCUCCUUAACAUUUCCAAUAUGCUAAAAACCAUACAGAAGCAGAGUAAAAUAGUAACGUUUUCUACAAAUGGCCAUUGAUGAGCUUUCUACAUCCCUUAACACCCCACCCUACUAACACACUCUAAAACAAUUCCUAAAAAAGUGGGAACACAAAAAAAAAGUGCAUCAUGCUUUAAUGUUGGUUUUCAGAUGUGUUUUUUUUUUUUAAAUAAAAGCAAAGCACCUAAAGGGUUAAAAUUCCAAAAUCUUAAAUCCACUCAUUAAAUAUAGUUGUUAACCAGCAGCAGAAAAAUGAUAUUUGUCCAGCAGUCAGAAAUAAUCAUGUUAAAUGACCAUUGAUAAACGUGGAAACAGAAAUAUCACCUUCUCUAUGAAAAGUAAAAAAUUUGGCAAAACUCAAAUAUUUCUGUGGUGGUAGAAAUUUCCUAAUCAUUAAUACCAUGGCAUUAGAAAUAUGAAAUAAUAAUUAAUAUUUAUUUCCAUUAAUCAGUUUAGAAAGUUUUUUAAAUCAUGUCAAUCCACUGUGAACAAAAAGAUCAAUUCCAAUUUCUGGAGUAUUUUUGUCACUGUUGUAAUGCCAAAUUUCACUUUCAUAGUUACAUGCUGAAUACAAUGUUUUUUGUUUUUUUAUCAAAUUCUAAAAAUCUGAUUCUGCAGACCUAAGUGAAA